Molecule: long non-coding RNA, 205 nt
Filed under: Dasypus novemcinctus (nine-banded armadillo)
Lineage: Eukaryota; Metazoa; Chordata; Mammalia; Cingulata; Dasypodidae
Description: lncRNA (ENSDNOG00000051527.1)
Source: RNAcentral
CAGUAACAAACAAGAUUUCAACACUGAAUGUUGUGAUGUGACUGUAACAGUCUUAUAAUUGAAACUUAAGAAUGAUACAACUUUGUUCUAAAACAGGUACUCCUGAUAACCAGUGAGUGGACUCCAACAAUCACUCCACAAUCCUUCCCAAUGAGUUUUACAACUAUUUAUAAUGUGUAGAGUAAAACCUGCUUUCUCUAUUUUG